RNAcentral lists this ribosomal RNA (486 nucleotides) under uncultured bacterium. RNAcentral's name for it is "bacterial SSU rRNA". It matches the Rfam family "Bacterial small subunit ribosomal RNA", at positions 30 to 507 of the family's 1533-position model. The record is from RNAcentral.
AUUGAACGCUGGCGGCAUGCCUUACACAUGCAAGUCGAACGGUAACAGGGAGCUUGCUCCGCUGACGAGUGGCGAACGGGUGAGUAAUGUAUCGGAACGUACCAUUCAGUGGGGGAUAACGUAGCGAAAGUUAACGCUAAUACCGCAUAUUCUGUGAGCAGGAAAGCAGGGGAUCGCAAGACCUUGCGCUGAUUGAGCGGCCGAUAUCAGAUUAGCUAGUUGGUGAGGUAAAGGCUCACCAAGGCGACGAUCUGUAGCGGGUCUGAGAGGAUGAUCCGCCACACUGGAACUGAGACACGGUCCAGACUCCUACGGGAGGCAGCAGUGGGGAAUUUUGGACAAUGGGGGCAGCCCUGAUCCAGCCAUGCCGCGUGAGUGAAGAAGGCCUUCGGGUUGUAAAGCUCUUUCGGCCGGGAAAAAAAUCGCAUCAGUUAAUACCUGGUGUGGAUGAUGGUACCGGAAUAAGAAGCACCGGCUAACUACGUG